Molecule: ribosomal RNA, 465 nt
Filed under: Vreelandella stevensii
Lineage: Bacteria; Pseudomonadati; Pseudomonadota; Gammaproteobacteria; Oceanospirillales; Halomonadaceae
Description: partial 16S ribosomal RNA
Rfam family: Bacterial small subunit ribosomal RNA
Source: RNAcentral
CCUACGGGUGGCUGCAGUGGGGAAUAUUGGACAAUGGGCGAAAGCCUGAUCCAGCCAUGCCGCGUGUGUGAAGAAGGCCUUCGGGUUGUAAAGCACUUUCAGUGGGGAAGAAAGCCUUGGGGCUAAUACCCUCGAGGAAGGACAUCACCCACAGAAGAAGCACCGGCUAACUCCGUGCCAGCAGCCGCGGUAAUACGGAGGGUGCGAGCGUUAAUCGGAAUUACUGGGCGUAAAGCGCGCGUAGGCGGUCUGAUAAGCCGGUUGUGAAAGCCCCGGGCUCAACCUGGGAACGGCAUCCGGAACUGUCAGGCUAGAGUGCAGGAGAGGAAGGUAGAAUUCCCGGUGUAGCGGUGAAAUGCGUAGAGAUCGGGAGGAAUACCAGUGGCGAAGGCGGCCUUCUGGACUGACACUGACGCUCAGGUGCGAAAGCGUGGGUAGCAAACAGGAUUAGAUACCCUUGUAGUC